This 409-nucleotide ribosomal RNA is filed under the name uncultured bacterium. RNAcentral's name for it is "partial 16S ribosomal RNA". It matches the Rfam family "Bacterial small subunit ribosomal RNA", at positions 338 to 764 of the family's 1533-position model. The record is from RNAcentral.
CCUACGGGUGGCUGCAGUGGGGAAUAUUGCACAAUGGGGGAAACCCUGAUGCAGCGACGCCGCGUGAAGGAUGAAGUAUUUCGGGAUGUAAACUUCUAUCAGCAGGGAAGAAAAGGACGGUACCUGACGAAGAAGACACGGCUAACGACGUGCCAGCAGCCGCGGUAAUACGUAGGGGGCAAGCGUUAGCCGGAUUUACUGGGUGUAAAGGGAGCGUAGCCGGUCUGGCAAGUCGGAUGUGAAAACCCGGGGCUCAACCCCGGGACGGCAUUGGAAACUGCCGAACUAGAGUGUCGGAGAGGCAAGUGGAAUUCCUUGUGUAGCGGUGAAAUGCGUAGAUAUUAGGCGGAACCCCAGUGGCGACGGCGGCUUGCUGGUCGAUGACUGACGUUGCGGCUCGCACGCGUGG